UCUUUUCGAAUUGGGCCAAACAAAUUCGGUGGCCCAGUUGCUCCACAAGCUUGCCCUAAAUUCCCCUUUAAUUACCCAAUUCUUUUCUUAUUUUUGAGAGAGGACAAAUGAUGAGAGAGAACACACGGACAAAGCCCCCUCCCUCUUUGACAAAAAAAAAAAACUAGCAGCCCCAUCUCUCACCUCACUCUCAACAGAGGGACCGAAAAUACACACUCAGACAUUCUCAUUCUCAUUCUCAUCUCUCUCACUCGGAUACACACAAAAUUCUCACCCGUCAUUCAUGGCAAUAGAGAGAGACAUACCCUUACCCUCAUCUUCAUACACCACAUGUUCAAAGCUUGGACUAGCAGAUGAAAACGGAAUUUUGAAAUUGAAAAGGGAGAUUCAGAUCUGAAAUUUUCGAAAACAAAUGCACACGAAAUAACUGAGAAAGGAUUCUGAAGUUCAAAAAAAAAAAUCAAAGUCAGAUGUGGGAACAAAAACUUCCGAAAAAACCAAAUUGAAAUAAGGAUUUCAAGGGGAGGGGAGUUAGCUGAAAUUUUGCUAUUUGCUGUUGAUUGUUGCUCAAAUGAACUCAAUGCGUUAGAAAUCAUUGUUGUUUGCUGCUGUAUCUUCUGAUUUCUGCUUGUGUCGAGAUCUGUUUCAUUCUCUUAGCCUUUACAUGGCACCUUAAGCAAUUUGUGACUUCUAGGUGCGUUUCUUCAGCUUUGUAUUUUAAUUUCGAAAAGCAAUGAAACUUCGAGUUUUCUGUUAUGUUAUUUUGUUUGAUUUAGUCUCCGAUUUUAGUUAUUGGUUGUGGACUGAAUUACUUGAAGUAUUUGAUAUAAUGAUUGGAUGAACAUUUAAAGCAUGCUUUGAAUUUAAUGCUAAUUUUGAAGACCGGUGGUCCGCACUUUUAAUUGAGUUGUUCCACUAAUUAAUUUGGUAUAAUGCUCUAUUUAUUAAUUCAUUUUUGAAGCAACUCACCGCGCUAUUGGGAUGAUUUAUAAAUCAGCAAUUAACUCAUAUUGAAUGUUCAAACUGUUAAUGGGUUGAAAAGGGCUGCACAAUCUUGAUUCACGAAUCUCAAUUCGUUUUCUAAUUUAAUGUCGGCAUCUCGUUAUGUAGCAGCAUAAUCUAACUUUGGUAAAUAGGAAAUUCAAUCCACAUGUCUUCAGAAAUUAGUAUCUAUGAGAUCACGCUUCACGGCAAAUCUUAAAUGUAGAAGUAGUACACUUAUAAACUUUGUAGCUUGCUUUAGGCGCGAUUAAUAAAUCAUCGUGGUCAUGAGUACGGUUCUUAUGACAUGGUCACGAUACGUAAAUCUCAAUUCGAGUGUACGUUUUACAUGACUCUACCAGAACUUCAAAUAAUAAUAAAAAUUAACAUGUUGUAAAUCGUGAGUGCAUUUCACGUGGCGCGAUUCACAAUGUGUACAAAAACAAACAAGUGCGCGACAUCGCGACUUGUUCAAACAAAUUUCAUAAAUGCUAAAAAGCGAUUUAAAAAGUAAAGNNNNNNNNNNNNNNNNNNNNNNNNNNNNNNNNNNNNNNNNNNNNNNNNNNNNNNNNNNNNNNNNNNNNNNNNNNNNNNNNNNNNNNNNNNNNNNNNNNNNNNNNNNNNNNNNNNNNNNNNNNNNNNNNNNNNNNNNNNNNNNNNNNNNNNNNNNNNNNNNNNNNNNNNNNNNNNNNNNNNNNNNNNNNNNNNNNNNNNNNNNNNNNNNNNNNNNNNNNNNNNNNNNNNNNNNNNNNNNNNNNNNNNNNNNNNNNNNNNNNNNNNNNNNNNNNNNNNNNNNNNNNNNNNNAAUAAGAGUCAAAUUUCUUCGAUUUGGGAUUUAAAAUAAACCGGUGACUUGGGACACCAUAAAUUAUUCCAAGUGGCGACUCUGAACUAAAUAAAUAAUCUCAUUUCGAAUAAUGUCGCUUAAAUUAGAAAAACUCCAUAUCCCUUCAGGAAAAAGGAUGUGUGAUACUUAGUAUGGUUGAUUUCGAUGUAAUAUUGGGUAUGGAUUGGUUGUAUCCAUAUCAUGCUGUUCUGGACUGUAACGCUAAAAUUGUGACGUUGUCGAUGUCGGGGUUGCCGAGGAUCGAGUAGAGAUGUUCUCUAGAUUAUGUUCCCAACAGGGUAAUUUCUUAUUUGAAGGCCCAACUGAUGGUUGGGAAGGGGGUGUUUGUCAUAUUUGGCCUUUGUGAGAGAUGUUGAUGCAGACACUCCUACUAUUGAUUCUUUACCGGUAGUACGAUAUUUUCCGAAUAUAUUUCCUGCAGACCUGCCGGUAUGUCACCCGACAGAGAUAUUGAAUUUGGUAUUGACUUGGUGUUGGUCACUCAACCCAUUUCUAUUCCUCCAUAUUGUAUGGCACCAGCUGAAUUGAAAGAAUUGAAAGAGCAACUCGAGGAACUCUUGAUAAGGGGUUUAUUAAGCUUAGUGUGUCGCCUUGGGGUGCACCGGUUAUGUUUGUGAAAAAGAAAGACGGUACUAUGCGGAUGUACAUCGACUACAAGCAGUUGAAAGAAGUUACAAUCAAGAACAAGUAUCAUUUACCACGCAUUGAUGAUUUAUUUGACUAACUUCAGGGAGCGAGGGUGUUCUCCAAAAUUGAUUUGAGGUUUGGGUAUCACCGGUUGAAGAUUCGAGAUUCAAAUAUUUUAAAGAUGACAUUCAAGACCCGCUAUGGUCACUGUGAAUUUCUCGUGAUGUCUUUUGGGCUGACCAACACCCCAACAACAUUCAUACACUUGAUAACAAUGUAUUUUAGCCAUAUCUUGAUUCGUUUGUCGUAGUAUUUAUUGGUGAUAUCCAGGUGUACUCACGUAGCAUAAGGAGCAUGCACAACACUUGAGUAUUGUAUUACAGAGGUUGAGGGAGGAGAAACUUUAUGCCAAAUUCUCCAAGUGUGAGUUAUGGCUUAUUUCAGUGGCGCUCUUGGGGCACGUGGUGUCUAGCGAGGGUAUUUGUGUGGAUCCAAGGAAGAUAGUGGCAGUUCAGAAUUGGCCCAGGUCAUCUUCAGCUACUGAAAUUCGGAGUUUUCUUGGUUUGGCCGGGUAUUAUAGUCUCUUUGUGGAGGGUUUCUCGUCUAUUGCAGCGCCUAUGACUAAAUUGACCCAGAAAGGUGCUCCAUUCAAGUGGUCGAAUGAGUGUGAAGAUAGCUUUUAGAAGCUCAAGACUACUUUGACCACAACUUCAGUUCUAGUUUUGCCUUCAGCGUCAUGCUCUUAUAUAGUGUAUUGUGAUGAUUCUCGUAUUGGUAUUGGGUGUGUCUUAAUUCAGGAUAGUAGAGUGAUUGCUUAUGCUUCCAUCCAGUUGAAGCCACAUGAAAAGAAUUACCUUGUUCAUGAUUUAGAGUUGUUAGCCAUUGUUCAUGCAUUAAAUAUUUGGAGGCACUAUCUAUACGGUGUGUCUUGUGAAGUAUUUAUGGAUCAUCAAAGUCUUUAGCACUUAUUCAAACAGAAUGAUCUAAAUUUGAGCCAAUUUAGAUGAUUGGAGCUAUUAAAGGACUAUGAUAUUACUAUUUUGUUCAUCCCGGGAAGGCCAAUGUGGUGCCCGGUGCAUUGUUGUUAGUGAGAGGCCACUUGCAUCAGAUGUUCAAGCCUUAGCCAAUCAAUUCGUGAGAUUAGAUGUUUCGGAGCCCAGUGGGGUUCUAGCUUGUGUGGUAUCUCGGUAUUCCUUAUAUGACCGUAUCAGAGAGUUCUAAUAUUAUGAUCCCCAUUUUCUUUUCCCUAAGGACACGGUUCAACACGAUGAUGCUAAAGAUGUUAAAAUUGGAGAUGAUGGGGUGUUGAGGAUGCAAGGUCGGAUCUGUGUACCAAAUAUAGAUGGACUGCGUGAGUUGAUUCUUGAGGAGGCCCACAUUUCGCGGUAUUCCAUUCAUUCGGGGUGCUGCAAAAAUGUAUCAGGACUUUAGGCAACAUUAUUGGUGGAGGAGGAUGAAGAAAGAUAUAACCGGGUUUGUAGCUAGGUGUUUAAAUUGUCAGUAGGUAAAGUACGAGUAUCAGAAUCUGGGCGGAUUGCUUCAAAAACUUGAAAUUCCGAAGUGAAAAUGGGAGCGUAUUACCAUGGACUUUGUAGUUGGACUCCUACGGACUUCGAGAAAGUUUGAUGCUAUUUGGGUGAUUGUGGAUCGGUUGGCCAAGUCCGAGUAUUUUAUUCCAGUUGGAACUACUUAUUAUUCAGAGCACUUGACUGAGAUUUAUAUUCGCGAGAUUAUUUGCCUUCACGGUGUUCCAGUGUACAUCAUUUCAGACCGGGGCAUGCAUUUCAUAUCACAGUUUUGGAGAGCAGUGCAACGAAAGUUAGGCACACAUGUUCAGCUGAGUACAUCAUUUCACACUCAGACAGACGGACAGCCCGUGCACACUAUUCAAAUAUUAGAAGAUAUGUUACGCACUUGUGUUAUAGAUUUCGGGGGUUCUUGGGAUCAGUUUCUGCCGCUGGUAGAGUUUGCCUAUAACAAUAGCUAACAAUCGAGCAUACAGAUGACUCCGUAUGAGGCUUUGUAUGGGAGACCGUGUCGGUCUCCGGUGGGUUGGUUUGAGCCGGGUGAGGCUAGGCUAUUGGGUAAUGAUUUAGUUCAGGAUGCUUUGGAAAAGGUUAAAUUGAUUCAGGAUCGACUUCGCACGGCGCAAUCUAGACAUAAUAGUUAUGCCGACCAGAAGGUUCGUGAUGUUGCUUACAUGGUGGGAGAGAAGGUACUACUCUGAAUUUCGCCUAUGAAAGGUGUUAUGAGGUUCGGGAAUAAGGGAAAGUUGAGCCCUCGGUAUAUUGGCCCUUUUGAAGUACUUAAGAGGAUUGGAGAGGUGGCCUAUGAACUUGCAUUGCCGCCUAGUCUAUCGGGUGUUCAUCCAGUGUUUCAUGUAUCCAUGCUCCAUAAGUAUGUCGGAGAUUCGUCUCAUGUUUUGGAUUUCAGUACGAUCCAGUUGGAUGGUGAUUUGACUUAUGAUGUGGAGCCGGUGGCCAUUUUGGACCGGCAUGUUCGAAAGUUGAGAUUAAAAAACAUAACUUAUGUGAAAGUGCAGUGGAGAGGCCAGCCAAUCGGAGAAGCUACAUGGGAGAUUGAGCGGGAGAUGCGGAGCAAAUAUCCACGCCUAUUUGAGACUCCAUGUAUGAUUCUAAAUUCGUUAGAGGACGAACGUUUGUUUAAGAUGAGGAGAAUGUAACGACCCGGCCGGUCGUUUUAAGUAUUACUACCAUGUUCACCCAUUUACUGAAUAAUUUAUGCUCAAUUGUGAUAAUGUGAUUUGUCGGGGAAGUUUCGGAAUGAAUUGGAACAUUUAGUUCCAAGAUUUAAGCUUAAGUUGAAAUAAUUGACCGGAUGUUGACUUAUGUUUAAACGACAUCAGAAUUGAGUUUUGAUAAUUUCAAUAGCUCAAUAUGAUGAUUUUGGACUUAUGAGUAUGUCAGAAUAUUUAUUUUGAAGUCCGUAGAAUAAAUUGAAGCUUUUUGGUGAAAGUUAGAAAUUAAAAUUCGAAAAUUUGACCGGGAGUUGACUUUAUUAAUAUCGAGCUCAGAUUUCGAUUCCCGAAAUUAGAAUAACUUUGUUAUGUCAUUUAUGACUUGUGUGCAAAAUUUGAAGUCAUUCCGGAUGAUUUAAUACGCUUAGGUGCAAAUUAUAGAAUUUGAAAAUUUCAUAACUCAUAAUUUGAUUCGAGGCGCGAUUCGUAGUUUUGGCGUUGUUUAAUGUGAUUCGAGGCCUCGAAUAAGUUUGUAUCAUUUUUUGGGAUUUGUUGGUAUGAUUUGACGAGGUCCCGAGGGGCUUGAGUGUAUUUUUGAAUUCUUGGUUGAGAGACUAGUAAAGUUAGGAAAUUUGGAGUUUGACCAUGGUCAAUAUCAGGUCAAUACGACCUAUUUUCAUUGGUUUGAGUGCGCGAGUAGGUCCGUAGUGUAUUUUAUGAUUGAAAUUCAUAUAUGGUUUGUGUCCGGAAGGUUCCUGAUGAGUUUCACGGUAGUUUUGUAUCAUUUAGGAGAAGUUUGGGUUUGUUGGUUUCUGAUGUGGCACUGUUCAUUUGCAUUUGCAGAUGCCAAGUUUUUGUACGCAAAUGUGAACCUGGGCAGAAGACUUAAGUAUCGAAAAUUGGUCAUUUUAUUCAUUUCGUUUUGGGGUUUGAAGCCUCGGUUUUGGGCGAAUUUGGAGGAGUUUUUCUCGAGUUUGAAUUGGGUAAGUAUUCCUCAACCGAAAUUGGUUAUAUUUCAUGAUUCUAUGGUUAUUUUAAUCAUUUAUUAGUGAAUCAAAUGGAAGAAAUUGAGAAAUUUGUAAAAUCUUUCAAAAAUAAAAAAUGAAGAUUUGGAGGUCGAAUUGUUAUUGGAAUUUGAUAAAAUUGGUGUGGCUGGACUUGUGGUUGAAUGAGUGUUCAUAUUUUAUAACUUUUGUCGGGUUCCAAGACGUGGCCCCCACUAUUGACUUUUGGUUGACUUUUCGAAUUUAAUUAGAAAAUUUAGUAUUUUCAUAUGGAAUUGAUUCCUAUAACUUGUGUUGAGUGUAUCAAAUAAAUUGUGACUAAAUUCGAGGCAUUCAGAGGCCAAUUCGCGAGGAAAUGGCUUAUUGGAAUAGAAAAUUUGCACGGUUUAAGGUAAGUAAUAUUUCUAAACUUGGUUCUGAGGGUAUGAAUCCUGAAUUACAUGUUAUAUGAAUUGUUUGGAGGUGACACACAUGCUAGGUGACAGGCGUGUGGGCAUGCACCAUAGAAAUUGCAUCUUAAUUGAUUCUGUGGAGUUGCAUAAUCAAAUAAUGAUGUCAUUAUCCACACAUCCUCUAUGUGUUAGAGAAAUUGAGUUGUGACUCGUAUUAAAGAUCAUGUUUAGGCUACGUGCCGAUAUUUUGGGACCCACAUGGGUCAUAUUGUUGUUGAAUUAAUCGUUUUAAAAAUGUAAAUUUCAUACUUAGUCAUGUCCAUCCAGUUGUGGGGAUAUUUAUGGGAUCGAGCUGCACGCCGCAGUAGGCCAUAUAUAUAAUUUAUAGAUCGGGGCUACAUGUCGCAACACCUUAUAGGUUUUAUUGUUAUGGGAUCGGGUUGCACGCCGCAGCAGGCCUAAAUGACUUAUUAUUAUAGCGCUUGGGCUGAAGGAACCCCUCCGGAGUCUGCACCCUCCACAGUGAGCGCAAUUGAUAUUAUAUUGAGGGAUGGAUCUUUCCUGGGCUGGAUUUGCCUCGUACAAUACUGAGUGAUUGAGUACUCUGAGAGUGUGAGUACGCGAGAUUUUCAUUAUGUUGUAUCACAUAUGACAUGUACAUUUGCAUGUAGAUAUAAAGAUGUCAUAUUCCUCAUAUCAUUCAGAUUUGAUCUAUUUUUCUUGUAUUGAGUUUAACUGUCGAACUUGAAAUGAUGUCUACAUUUCUAUACUAUUAUAUUCUAUGAUUAGACUGUAAUUGUUGAGCUCGUCACUACUUUCAGCCCAAAUGUUAGUCUUGUUACUUAUUGAGUACAUUGGGUCGGUCGUACUCAUACUACACAUUGCACUUUGUGUGCAGAUCCAGGUACUUCCGAAUACGGCGGUUGCUAGAUUUUGGAGAUUUGUUUGCUGGAGACUAUAGAGGUAGCUGCUUUGGCGUCCGCAAACCUUGACUCUCUUUCCUUUCAAUUAUUUGUACUGUUCUAUAUUUUUCAGACAAUGAUUUUAUCAGUCAGGUUGUGUUGUCAUUUAGAUGCUCAUGCACUUAGUGACACCGGUUUUGGAAUGUGUUGUAUAAAGAAA
RNAcentral lists this long non-coding RNA (7671 nucleotides) under Nicotiana tabacum (common tobacco). Its description in RNAcentral is "long non-coding RNA (NTAB_LNC003805)". Lineage: Eukaryota; Viridiplantae; Streptophyta; Magnoliopsida; Solanales; Solanaceae. The record is from RNAcentral.